RNAcentral lists this long non-coding RNA (6790 nucleotides) under Hordeum vulgare. Its description in RNAcentral is "long non-coding RNA (HVUL_LNC011358)". Lineage: Eukaryota; Viridiplantae; Streptophyta; Magnoliopsida; Poales; Poaceae. The record is from RNAcentral.
UUCGAGGUCGUCGGGGUCGAGGUCGGUCAGGGCCGGGGGGCGAGGUCGCCGGGGAGGACCUGCAGCGUCGGCGGCUCAGAGUGGAGAGGAGAGAGUUAGGAGGGGAAAGGUAGGGAGUGAGGGGUGGGGCGACGACGCAGAGUGGAGAGGGAGAGAGUGAGAAGGGGGAGAGGGAGGGAGUGAGGGGCGGGGCGGCGGCGAGAGUGGAGAGGGAGGGAGUGAGGGGCGGUAGUGACGGUGCAGAGUAUGGAGAGGGAGAGAGUGAGAGAGAGGGCCGUGCAGGGGCGACGAAGACGAUAAAUGCACACCCCACUUAGCAGUAGCGCGGGUCAGAAAAACACGCUACUACUAUUUUGUUAGCAGUAGCACCGGUAUAUGGGGCACGAUACUACUAAGUCCAGCCUGUAGGAAACGGUUGGGCAAUAUUAGUAGUAACGUGUUUCUUAAAAUAAUGCUACUGCUAAGUAUUUAGCAGUAGCGACUCUAGUAGACGCGCGCUACUGAUAUGUAGCAGCAGCGCCCUCUUUUAUCCAGCGCUACUGCUAAUGUUCUGUGUAUAAGGUUUUCCUUGAUAAUGACCCGUUUCGCUAAUCCGGACGAGUGGGGAAAGUUUGGAUGCCCGAUUUUAAGGAGGGCGCUAUGUUAUUAUAGCACUUUUUUUUUUCAGUUGAUAGACUUGCUGUGUAACUUGUAGUCGAUGUGGUAUCAGGUUGCUGCAGCUGCGCUAUUACUCGAUUUAAACUCAAUCGCGUUUUAUUGUUUGUGCAAAUACUGGCGAUUACUCAUCGCUUUGUUCUCCCUAGGAAACUUGUUCCCAGUGCUGGAUUUGGCUAUUAUUGAUGUCAAUGUGAACAACAUGCCAUGUAAUAGUACUAACCUGUUUGUGGUUAGUUAAUGAGUUGAAUCUAUGUUUCUCCAGUUUGCAACUCAAUGAGCUUUCUCCCUUCAAAGUUCUUGGAGAUGUCUAUCGCAUCAUCUAUUGCCAAUCUUUCAAUAUAGGUGCACACAAUGUAAAUAUACAUGUUUGCUCAAGGUCUAGGAGUUUAACGCAAGUGUUAAGAAGCUCCCAUUAGUUCGGAUGUUUUCUGUUCCUACACUUUUGGACAUAGGGGCAAGUGUCUCGUAUUACAAAUGCGUGCCCGGUGUCCCAAUAUAUAAUUGAUCAUCCACAUUAUUUGAGAGGCAUUAUUACCUCUUGCCUCAAUUUAACAAAUAACAAAAGAUGAUAAAUGGCAGAAAGAAAUCCGCAACCCCAUUUAUAUGAUACUCUGUCCAAUGUGUUUGCUCUCAUGUUAUUUCUCCAUCCCACCGAAAUAGGAUGUCACAUAUUUUCUUUAGUUUCUUCACCUCUCACUUACUCAUAGGUAUGGGAGGUGUUGGGAAAUUCCGAGUAACUUACAGUUCCAAGUGUUGCAGCUUAUCUAAAAACUUCGACUGAUAAUGCUUUGGUAUGUCGAGGUACUGACUGCCAUGUAGAUUAUCUGAGUUUCAAACAUGUUAGAAACUCACUCACGAGUUCCAUUACAGUUCGAAGGGUGGCAAGCUUCUGUAAAUGCUUUGACUUAGAUUGUUUAGCACCCUUAUUGAGCAUGAAUGUAGUCCACUUUGCUGGCUUAACAUGUACUCCCUCGGUCCCAAUAUAUAACACAUUGUUACACCCAAUACAUUUGAUGUAAUAAUGUGUUAUAUUAUGGGCCGCAGGGAGUAUAAGCAUGAUGUUCUAUAAGGACGUGUUAUCACUGUUAAUAAAUGACAUAAAUGUUCUCCUGUGUAUCAAAGUCAAAAGAUCCUUAGAUAUUUCUAAACUAGUCAUAAUGAUAAUAAACAUUUAGUUGAGGCAAUGUUCAUCCAUGUUAUUUUUGUUCAUUUGUAGAUGACAAGGAGAUCAAGUUAGUACACUUCUGUUGAAUGACGACAAUGAUUUGUUUUUAUUUUGAUAAGGAAGUGUUCAAAAAAUCUCAUUGAACAUAUUUAUGGGCCCAGAGUGUGCACUUGCCAUUCAUCAUAUAUAGCGAACAUGCCCGCCUCCAAGGUUCCUUUCUCUGCAUUGCCUCUCUUUCACGAUCGGGUGCAAGGGCAAUCUUCUAAGGAAGCAUGCCAUUGACAUGCUACUAUUAAACAUCACUUAAUCUUGAUCUUCUGCACCCUUUUUUUGGACCGAGAUAGUUUAGGAAAACAGUUAGCAUACACAUUGUUGAUAUAGCCACUCAGAUGAGGCCUCUAUAUAUAGGAUUUUAACCAAGGAUGGACACGCGCUCAUAUCAACUAUGCUUGACUGUUAAUUUUUUUUCCGAAACGGAGGCAUAAGAUUUGCCUCAUCUAUUAAGUAAAAAGAGAAUAGAGUUUAGAGUUUUAUAUAACACCCCGCCCAAACGGCAUGGCAAUUACUCACACAAGAUUACAUCAAAAGUUUUUUAAGCACCGGCAGUAACCCAUAGCUUUUCUUCUUCAUGAAUGGACCUAAGAAGAAUAGAUAGUGGUGCAAAUGUUUUGACGAAACACUCCAGCAUUCCGCACUUUCCGAAUGUUUCAUGAGAUGAGCAUGGUGAGGGAGGUCUUCGCAUGCCAAUUUGGAUUUUGAUUAUCGGUUCAUUUGUCCCAUCAAUUUUUGACGCAUUCAUCAAGAUGCCACUCGGAGAUGUUGAUGUGAGGUAACUCAAGGCUCUGAAUAAUUGAUAUUCAUAGCCUAAGUGUGUACUGAUCGACGUUCCAACCAAUAAUCUCAAUAAUUUGAAGAAGAGGUGUGUCCGCGUUUUUUUUUGUCUUGCACAGUUGGCAAAGGCCACAGUUGGCCCAACUACGCCUCUCCAACCGAUCGGCGUUCCAAAUACGAUCUUAUAGAGCUAACCAAGCGAAGAAUUUAACCUUGAGGGUGCCCAAGCCUUCCAAACCAUGUGGUCCUGUACACGAUGGCUGCGAGUAGAUCCCAUCGUUUGGAUGCUUCCAAAUGAUCUCAUCUUCAGCUUGCCCGUCAAGUAGGAAGUCAUGUACUAGCAUCCAAAGGGUGAAGAAUUUGAUCCCAUGAAUGGUGUUCCUACGCUGCUGUACAUGCGCUGACCAUGAUGACCACUUCGGCAGUUUGGAGUGGCAUGAUAGAAUUGGAUCGCAGCUCACUUGUCACUGUAACCGUUACAAAAUAUAGAAAGUCUAACCAGACGAUGCAGUGACGUUGGCUGCACAAAACAAACUUUGUGUCCGGUGUUCAUCUAAAUUCGGGUAUGUGUGUGCUCUGAAUGGGUGAGAUUCUUCGAGCAUGCAACUAAAAAAUCUAGUGUAUGAAGCUAACUAGCUAAUCAUGGUCGAUUGAUCAAACAAUCAUGUAAGAUGUUGUCCCGAGUAUACAUCCCUCAUAAAGUCAACCAAAUAUGCAUGUACAAUUAUGCACACAGCUCUUAAGUCCACUGAGAUGGUGUGCUGCAAUCGUGAGCAGAUGCUGCUUCGAUAAGGAUCCAAUAAUGUAGAAAAAAAAGGUUGAAUAUUCAUUUUCACUAAUAUCCCCAGUUGCAGCCACUCCGCGGAAACUGUGCUCGUGGUUGUCUUUCAAAUCAUGCAUACAUGCAUCUGCUAAAUUUUGGAUCAGACAAUUAGAAAUUAAGUUAUUUUUCUGUCAAUAUGGAAUACCAGAGUCAAUAUGUUUGUGAGAUUUGCCUCAAGAUAUGUUUUUUGUCAGGCAACAGUUGCCAUUUCUGUUUGUCACAUAAAUACAACAUAGGGCGGGGAUCUGCAAACGACUACCCCUAGCUAAUAGAAAUAAGCAUUCUGUCUUAGUAAUCCUACAACACGCCAAGAGCUUUCUGCAUAGAAAAUUAGGUAAAAUAUAUUUAAAUUUAUGUAAUAUUCAUCUACCUAAUCUUAUCACGUAUUAUAACACGGCUUUCCACCAGGCUAAGCUAUGUUACGUGGAUGUAGCAAAGCUCUUCUUGGCAGCCUUUAUUGCUAAGCUAGAUUCAAUGAAGGUACCCUCUGCCACCGUUAUCAACUCAACCCACUUUAUCUGAAGUGAAAUCAUCUAUUACUUGUCUAUCUUAUGACCUAUAUAGGACGAGAGAUGAUAUAUUGAUCCUAUAGCCCUAUAUAUACGUCCUCCACCAAUAUCACUAGUGCAUGCAUGAAUCUCGUCAUUCCAUUUUGCUUUCAUCAUUUGCUCGAUACCUCAUUGAUUGCUCGUAGACACAAGAAGUGUGAGACAGUUUCCAAUUAUGUACCUUUUCCUCUUUCAAUAAUUUGAAGGAUUGGGCAUCAAACUCUUAAGUUAGUUUGUCAACUUCCGUACCAUAUGUCUUUUUUUUUUUUUACUAUUUACCACAUGUGCUAUUACAUAAUGCAUGCUCCGGCCUUACAACUCGUUUAACUCCCUUUACCUAAUAAUGAGAGAUGUCAUGUGACUAUAUGACACACAACAUUAAAUUCAUAUGUAUAUCAUAUAUAAUCCCCCUUCCAGUGUUUUUUCUCCCGCAUUACACACAACAUUGAAUCCAUUUGUGAUAUAUCUGGUCUGUAGCUGCUUAUAUAUUUGGUCACUCGCAUGCAUAGGCAUGAGAGGUGUUGGAAAGGUCCCAAUAGAGUACUCUUAGAAGCACACAUUUCUUUAGCGUUGAUGAUGUGUUCGAAAUUGAUAUAGUGCCCCCGUGAUCUCAUUAAGCUCCUGCAGGCAGGAGACAGGUAUUGCGUUUCCCCCCAAUAUGUGCUCGCCUGCGUGAACAUUCCCUCCAUGGUACCUUCCUUUGUGUUGUUUCUUGUUCAGGAACAUGCAUGGAUGAAGAGUAAUCUCAUUAAGAAGUCCUACACUCGCACGGAACUACCUGCCUUCUUGUUUCGCUUGUCUGUCGCGUCCUUUUGGAAGUCGGACUGCUCAAGUUAUUCCUGGGUCCACCGCUGCGUUAGGGGCGAGCCUAGCUCCUUCUCAGGUUAGGGGCGAGUCUAGCUAGUCUUUCGGGUUUGGGGCAAGCCUAGCUCCUUCUCAGGUUGUUCCUGGGUCCACCACUGCGCUGAGUGGUUCAUGACAUUGGUACACGCCAUUGAGAGGCUUCUAGACGAUUUAGCCGAAGGAUGGAACACACAACCUCACAAGAAUUGUACAUGAUCGAAGCAGGUUUAUUGUUCAAGGUGCCUCUCGUUAUUUGCUCCCCCCCCCCCUUUCACUGCCUUCACAAAUCUGGCACAAGCUUACUGCAUGUACUCUCUAAACAUAACUAAGAUUAACUAGUUAUACAAUUAUGCACACAGAUCUUUAGUCAUGUGAAAUGGUGUAGUAAAGUCAUCUGCAAAAGUUGCUACCAUAAGGGUUUAAUGUAGAAACAAAGGUUGCAUAUUCUAUGGAUGCAACCUGUAGUUUCAACUAAUCCAUCAUUCUGGCCACCUGGCGGAAGUGGUGGUGUUUCAACUAGAGGAGUUGUGUGACGUUGGCUGCACAAAACAACUAUGUGUUUGGUGUUCAGCUUGUUCGAAUUCAGAGCGGAGGAAAUUCUUUGUGCUAAAUACCUUCUUUGCAAGCCGUGAUCCCACAACGAACCGAAAUGGCCAUCAAAAAGUAGAUUCAUUUUCUGAUAGAAAAAUAAUCUGCUUUCUUCUGUCACAUGUAUUUCUGAAAGAACUCCGUGUGCAUGUGUUUUUUGAAUCGGUGAAAUUCUUUGAGCAUCUAACUAAACAGAAAAAGCUGAGAUUGUUAGCAAUUAAGUAUUUCCGUGGAUGGACAUGGAACACUAGUGGAAGAUGGGGGUUUAGUCCCGGUUCCAAAGGGCCUUUAGUCCUGGUUGUGCAGCCGGGACUAAGCCUUCGGGACUAAAGGCCACAGGUUUUAUUCCCGGUCGUGAUGCAAACUGGAAUUAAAGGUAGUCCAAAUGCCCGUUGCGCAGGCUUGGACAGGAGGACCUCUAGUCCCGGUUGAUAACACCAACCGGGGCUAAAGAGAUCCACGCGUUUUUUGGAGGGGUUUGACGAGUUUUUUUUUUUCUUAGAACCAAAGCCCUCUUUUCUACUAGUGUCCCCGCGUCGGCCACCUUUCUCCCUCGACGCUAGCUACUAAUAGCAAUGAAUGAACCUUUACACAAUAUCAUCAUGAAUAUGAAGUGACCUCUCGCCUCGACGCUAGCUACUAAUAUUCGACUCUAUUACAUAUAGUACACAUUCAUGCAUAUAUACAAUAUAUAUCUAUCACGAUCUCUAAUAUCUAAUUACCAAUAUCCGCUAUCACUUCCUGAUGCAAUUCUUCGGUUGGUGAUAUUACUUCAUCAAGGAAAAAUCCUGCCAAUUCUUCUUGAAUUGCUCGUAUGCGAUUUCUCUGAUAGGAGUUCAUCCUGUUUCCGUCGGGUCCAAUUUAAAGAAGGGAUCAAUAAGAAACUCAACAAAAUUAACGGUAAUAAAAUAAAUCGUGAAUAUUUUUACGUACGUCAAGUUCUUCAAAAUUUCUGCCAGUCUCCCAGGUCGUCAUGCGAACACCCUUUCUGUUAGACUUCCCUCAAAGAUAUAUUUUUUGUCACGCAACUAUUGAAGUUUGUGUUUUUUUAGAGGAAAUACAAUAUACAAUUGGGAUCUGCUGACCACUAGCUAGCUAGCAAAAGUAAUAAUUCGGUCUUCGUUAUUCCAGUACACGCUAAGUGUUUUUUGCAUAGAAAUCAUGUAAAACUCAUGGUCGGAAUAUAUUUAAGAUGCUGGAAAAUUCAUCUAUGUAAUUUUGUCAUGUAUUCUAACAUGCUUUUCCACCAGCACUACAAUCUCGGUAACCUAAUUUCUAAGCUAGUUUCAAUCAAUAUACCUUGUCACCCCACGAGCAUGCACUAGUGGGGACGGG